AGCUCGUAUACCUUUUCCUUAGCAUUUUAAUGUCGAUGGUGUGGGAGCAUAUGUUUCAGAAGCUGAAAGAAACUUAAGCCCUUCUGUAGGAUACUGGCUCAGUCACCACACACACAGCUUCAGUCGAAGGUGAAAAGUGUUCGGGGAGCUGUGGAGAGACACCGAGCUGUCUCUAGGAUAGCCAUGCAGCCGGCCCCUCUCCAGACCUUCCUGCUGCACAUCUGGUUACCUACUCUAAUGGGUGCAGAAAUGGAUCUAACAGGAAGGGGAAGCCAUAUAAUACUCCCCAAGAAUGUUUAAAAGAGGAUUCUUCAGCAUUUCAUGGAAAACAGGAGUCUUAAGGGAACAUCCUAGGUAAGUCAUUAUAGAAAAAGGAGAAUUUGCUUGCCUGACUUGUCUCUCUUAGUUCUCUCUUAGAAGGUAGAAAUAUGUAGAAUAAGAGAAUACUAGGAUGUGUCAAGGGUAUGAAAAUACAAUACAUGAAGCAGUUAAAGUCUUUAACAGGUUGCCAUAAUAGGUUUAUAAUUAGCCAAAUUCCCUUUUCUUUCUUUAUCAUUGUUUAAUCUUCCCAUUUUAU
RNAcentral lists this long non-coding RNA (577 nucleotides) under Callithrix jacchus (white-tufted-ear marmoset). RNAcentral's name for it is "lncRNA (ENSCJAG00000066634.2)". The record is from RNAcentral. Lineage: Eukaryota; Metazoa; Chordata; Mammalia; Primates; Cebidae.